Oncorhynchus masou masou (cherry salmon) is the source of this 658-nucleotide long non-coding RNA. RefSeq lists it as uncharacterized. The record is from RefSeq and is a predicted model, not a curated record. Lineage: Eukaryota; Metazoa; Chordata; Actinopteri; Salmoniformes; Salmonidae. The transcript is spliced from 3 exons.
GAGGACCCAGAAAUGGUGGGCGUACGAGAAAGAGCUAAUUCUGAUGUUGAGCCAAGUGCCUUUCAAUCAUGGGAUUGCAGACUAUCUGGAAUAAUUACAUAGUCUUGAUUGUUAUGGGCACGAGCCUUGGACUCAUACACUGGGGUUGGUACAAUGUCAAGUCUCACCCUGCACUACACAAGACUCAACAGGACUAUGUUCCCGAACCAGGCAUUGUGGCAUAUGUUUCGCCACCUCUAGCCCCUGCCAAGGCAUUGCAGCUGGUGAAGGAGAGUGAGUUCCAGUGACGUACACAUCCUUCAGAAAGGACAACAUCUACUAGGCUAUAUAAUGGACUGAGACUAUGAGGCUGGUUGAGGAAGAACUGGCUGUGGGUGGUUGGGGGAUCCUUUCUUGGCAUCCAUUUAACCACCUGGCUCAUGCAGAGGGCUAUGAGAAGCGUCGCUUGCUCUGAGAUGUCACUGAAAGAGAAGGAUUCCCAGGAGUGACUGGUGGUGAGGCGUUUUGCCAGUGGACUACUAUAUUUUUAACGACUCACGUGUGGAGUAAAUGGAAUUGAAUUCUGAACUCAAGAUAAUGAUGUAAUUACCUGUGCUUGAUUAGCUGCAAAUGUUAUUCCUCUGGUAGAGAUCAAAUUAAACUAUGAAUUUCACAAUAA